UUACGGCCAUAUCACGUUGAAACAUUGGUUCCGGUACAAUCACCGAAAUUAAGUAGCGUUGAGCCUGAUCAGUAUCUAGAUGGGUGACCGCUUGGGACUACAAGGCGCUGUAAG
Non-coding RNA from Acanthosepion pharaonis, 114 nucleotides. The record is from the annotation of a GenBank genome assembly. NCBI's taxonomy places the organism in Eukaryota, Metazoa, Mollusca, Cephalopoda, Sepiida, Sepiidae.